RNAcentral lists this ribosomal RNA (465 nucleotides) under uncultured bacterium. Its description in RNAcentral is "partial 16S ribosomal RNA". It matches the Rfam family "Bacterial small subunit ribosomal RNA", at positions 28 to 507 of the family's 1533-position model. The record is from RNAcentral.
GACGAACGCUGGCGGCGUGCUUAACACAUGCAAGUCGAACGGAAAGGCCCCUUUGGGGGUCCUCGAGUGGCGAACGGGUGAGUAACACGUGAGUAACCUGCCCUUGACUUCGGGAUAACUUCAGGAAACUGGGGCUAAUACCGGAUAGGAAUCCUUGCUGCAUGGUGGGGGUUGGAAAGCUUCGGCGGUUUUGGAUGGACUCGCGGCUUAUCAGCUUGUUGGUGGGGUAGUGGCUUACCAAGGCUUUGACGGGUAGCCGGCCUGAGAGGGCGACCGGCCACAUUGGGACUGAGAUACGGCCCAGACUCCUACGGGAGGCAGCAGUGGGGAAUAUUGCACAAUGGGCGGAAGCCUGAUGCAGCAACGCCGCGUGCGGGAUGACGGCCUUCGGGUUGUAAACCGCUUUCAGCAGGGGCGAGGCUUGUGGUGACGGUACCUGCAGAAGAAGCACCGGCUAACUACGUG